Non-coding RNA from Cladorrhinum sp. PSN332, 95 nucleotides. NCBI's taxonomy places the organism in Eukaryota, Fungi, Ascomycota, Sordariomycetes, Sordariales, Podosporaceae. The record is from the annotation of a GenBank genome assembly.
GUCCUCGUAGCGAAGUGGUUACGCGCCCGGUCAACCCAGCGUUGCAUUUCUCUAGCGUAGACUGGGAGACGUCAGUUCAAACCUGACCGAGGGCA